ACUCAAAUGAAUAGACGGGGACCCGCACAAGCGGUGGAGCGUGUUGUUUAAUUCGAUACUAAACGAAGAACCUUAUCCAAGGCUUGACAUCCUGGGAAUUUUUUCGAAAGAAAAAAGUGCCUUCGGGAAUCCAGUGACAGGUGUUGCAUGGCCGUCGUCAGCUCGUGUCGUGAGAUGUUUGGUUAAGUCCAUCAACGAGCGCAACCCUUAUGGUUAGUUGAAUUUCUCUAGCCAGACUGCCCCGGUAACGGGGAGGAAGGAGGGGAUGAUGUCAGGUCCGUAUUACCCUUAUGCCUUGGGCUACAGACACGCUACAAUGGCCGGUACAAAGGGCAGCCAACCCGCGAGGGGGAGCAAAUCCCAUCAAAGCCGGUCUCAGUUCGGAUUGUAGGCUGAAACUCGCCUGCAUGAAGCCGGAAUCGCUAGUAACGGUAGGUCAGCAUACUACCGUGAAUACGUUCCCGGGUCUUGUACACACCGCCCGU
RNAcentral lists this ribosomal RNA (485 nucleotides) under uncultured bacterium. RNAcentral describes it as "partial 16S ribosomal RNA". It matches the Rfam family "Bacterial small subunit ribosomal RNA", at positions 899 to 1397 of the family's 1533-position model. The record is from RNAcentral.